Molecule: transfer RNA, 72 nt
Filed under: Mycosphaerella sp. Ston1
Lineage: Eukaryota; Fungi; Ascomycota; Dothideomycetes; Mycosphaerellales; Mycosphaerellaceae
Also listed under: 1 other name
Description: tRNA-Glu (CTC) (tRNA-Glu-CTC-1-1, tRNA-Glu-CTC-1-2)
Rfam family: tRNA
About the family: Transfer RNA (tRNA) molecules are approximately 80 nucleotides in length.
Source: RNAcentral
UCCGAAAUGGUCUAGUGGCUAGGAUUUCUCGCUCUCACCGAGGAGGCCGGGGUUCAAUUCCCCGUUUCGGAA